RNAcentral lists this ribosomal RNA (849 nucleotides) under uncultured bacterium. Its description in RNAcentral is "bacterial SSU rRNA". It matches the Rfam family "Bacterial small subunit ribosomal RNA", at positions 8 to 889 of the family's 1533-position model. The record is from RNAcentral.
AGAGUUUGAUCAUGGCUCAGAAUGAACGUUGGCGGCGUGGAUUAGGCAUGCAAGUCGAGCGCGAUUCUUUUAGCAAUAAAAGAUGAAAGCGGCAAAAUGGAUAGUAACACGUGGAUACAUACCCUUGGGUCUGGGAUAGCGGCGGGAAACUGCCGGUAAUACCAGAUAAUGUCUUCGGACCAAAGAUUUAUUGCCCGAGGAGUGGUCCGCGUCCUAUUAGGUAGUUGGCGGGGUAAUGGCCCACCAAGCCGAAGAUGGGUAGCGGGUGUGAGAGCAUGGCCCGCAUCACUGGGACUGAGACACUGCCCAGACACCUACGGGUGGCUGCAGUCGCGAAUCUUCCACAAUGGACGAAAGUCUGAUGGAGCGACGCCGCGUGCGGGAUGAAGGCCUUCGGGUUGUAAACCGCUGUCGAGGGGAAUCAAAUUUUGAGUGAUCCCUGGAGGAAGCACCGGCUAAACUCGUGCCAGCAGCCGCGGUAAUACGAGUGGUGCAAACGUUGUUCGGAAUUACUGGGCUUAAAGGGUGCGUAGGCGGCUAUGAAGGUCUGAUGUGAAAUACCACGGCUCAACCGUGGAACUGCGUUGGAAACCACAUGGCUGGAGUGAGACAGAGGUAAGCGGAACUGAUGGUGGAGCGGUGAAAUGCGUUGAUAUCAUCAGGAACACCGGUGGCGAAAGCGGCUUACUGGGUCUUUACUGACGCUGAUGCACGAAAGCUAGGGGAGCAAACGGGAUUAGAUACCCCGGUAGUCCUAGCUGUAAACGAUGAGUACUAGUCCGUGGGGACCCCCACAUCCUCUCGGACGUAGCGAAAGUGUUAAGUACUCCGCCUGGGGAGUAUGGUCGC